UGAGUGGCGGACGGGUGAGUAACACGUGGGUAACCUGCCCAUUAGAGGGGGAUAACAUUCGGAAACGGAUGCUAAUACCGCAUAGUUUCAGGAAUCGCAUGAUUCUUGAAGGAAAGGUGGCUUCGGCUACCACUAAUGGAUGGACCCGCGGCGUAUUAGCUAGUUGGUGAGGUAAUGGCUCACCAAGGCAAUGAUACGUAGCCGACCUGAGAGGGUGAUCGGCCACACUGGGACUGAGACACGGCCCAGACUCCUACGGGAGGCAGCAGUAGGGAAUCUUCCGCAAUGGACGAAAGUCUGACGGAGCAACGCCGCGUGAGUGAAGAAGGUUUUCGGAUCGUAAAACUCUGUUGUUAAAGAAGAACAAGGAUGAGAGUAACUGCUCAUCCCCUGACGGUAUUUAACCAGAAAGCCACGGCUAACUACGUGCCAGCAGCCGCGGUAAUACGUAGGUGGCAAGCGUUGUCCGGAUUUAUUGGGCGUAAAGCGAGCGCAGGCGGUUCUUUAAGUCUGAUGUGAAAGCCCCCGGCUCAACCGGGGAGGGUCAUUGGAAACUGGAGAACUUGAGUGCAGAAGAGGAGAGUGGAAUUCCACGUGUAGCGGUGAAAUGCGUAGAUAUGUGGAGGAACACCANUGGCGAANGCGACUCUCUGGUCUGUAACUGACGCUGAGGCUCGAAAGCGUGGGGAGCANACAGGAUUAGAUACNCUGGUAGUCCACGCCGUAAACGAUGAGUGCUA
Molecule: ribosomal RNA, 740 nt
Filed under: Carnobacterium maltaromaticum
Lineage: Bacteria; Bacillati; Bacillota; Bacilli; Lactobacillales; Carnobacteriaceae
Description: bacterial SSU rRNA
Rfam family: Bacterial small subunit ribosomal RNA
Source: RNAcentral